RNAcentral lists this ribosomal RNA (491 nucleotides) under uncultured bacterium. RNAcentral's name for it is "partial 16S ribosomal RNA". It matches the Rfam family "Bacterial small subunit ribosomal RNA", at positions 29 to 507 of the family's 1533-position model. The record is from RNAcentral.
AUGAACGCUAGCUACAGGCUUAACACAUGCAAGUCGAGGGGAAACGGCAUCGAAAGCUUGCUUUUGAUGGGCGUCGACCGGCGCACGGGUGAGUAACGCGUAUCCAACCUGCCCAUCACUUGGGAAUAACCUUGCGAAAGUAAGACUAAUGCCCAAUGACAUCCCACGAAGGCAUCCGAAUGGGAUUAAAGAUUUAUCGGUGAUGGAUGGGGAUGCGUCUGAUUAGCUUGUUGGCGGGGUGACGGCCCACCAAGGCAACGAUCAGUAGGGGUUCUGAGAGGAAGGUCCCCCACAUUGGAGCUGCGACACGGUCCAAACUCCUACGGGGGGCAGCAGUAAGGAAUAUUAGUCGAUGGACGAGAGCCUGAACCAGCCAAGUAGCGUGCAGGAUGACGGCCCUAUGGGUUGUAAACUGCUUUUAUAAGGGAAUAAAGUGGGUCACGUGUGACUUUUUGCAUGUACCUUAUGAAUAAGGACCGGCUAAUUCCGUG